This 467-nucleotide ribosomal RNA is filed under the name uncultured bacterium. RNAcentral's name for it is "partial 16S ribosomal RNA". It matches the Rfam family "Bacterial small subunit ribosomal RNA", at positions 28 to 506 of the family's 1533-position model. The record is from RNAcentral.
GACGAACGCUGGCGGCGUGCUUAACACAUGCAAGUCGAACGGAAAGGCCCUGCUUUUGUGGGGUGCUCGAGUGGCGAACGGGUGAGUAACACGUGAAUAACCUGCCCUUGACUUUGGGAUAACUUCAGGAAACUGGGGCUAAUACCGGAUAGGAGCUCCUGCUGCAUGGUGUGGGUUGGAAAGUUUCGGCGGUUGGGGAUGGACUCGCGGCUUAUCAGCUUGUUGGUGGGGUAGUGGCUCACCAAGGCUUUGACGGGUAGCCGGCCUGAGAGGGUGACCGGCCACAUUGGGAGUGAGAUACGGCCAAGACGCAUAAGGGAGGCAGGAGUGGGGAAUAUUGAAAAAGGGGCGGAAGCAUGAUGCAGCAACGCCGCGUGCGGGAUGACGGCCUUCGGGUUGUAAACCGCUUUCGACUGUGACGAAGCGUGAGUGACGGUAAUGGGUAAAGAAGCACCGGCUAACUACGU